This is a non-coding RNA of Mycena vulgaris, 84 nucleotides long. The record is from the annotation of a GenBank genome assembly. NCBI's taxonomy places the organism in Eukaryota, Fungi, Basidiomycota, Agaricomycetes, Agaricales, Mycenaceae.
GCCCUCGUUGAUCAAUGGAGAUGAUUGUUGUAUCGAUCACAACGGAGUCAGUGGGCAGCGGGGGUUCGACUCCCCCCGAUGGCA